UGUAUUGUUUAGUUGCUGAACAUUAUUGUCUUUUAUGUUUGUUGGUUAAUUUAUAUGAUUUCUUGUGUCACAUAGAUGUUAAUUAGUAUUUUAUAUAGAAGUUGGAUGAAUCUAAGAAGAAGCAAUAGUGAGUUCAACAAUGGAGUGUAGGAUUUUCUUGCUAGGGAAUUUUAACGAGGUUCUAAAGGAGAAAAAAUAUUAUGCCCAUGUGAUGCUUGUAAGAAUCGCUAUUGGCAAUUUAGAAAUGUUGUGGAGGAUCACUUGUUUGAAAAAGGAUUUGUUGUAGGAUACGAGAGGUGGAUUUCUCACAGAGAAAGGAUAUAUACAAGUACACCUCAUUCAAGCAGUAGUAAUGACGAAACUUAUAAUAAUCAAGAUGAUAUUGAUAGACUGCUUCAUGACACAUUUAGAAAUAUAGAAUAUAAUGUAGAGCAUGAAGAAAGGGUGGGAGAAGGGCUAUCUGAAGAGGAAAAAAAGUUUUUUAGAUUAGUUGAAGAAGGGAAAAAGGAGUUAUAUCCAGGGUGUGAGAACUUCAGCAAGUUGAGUUUUGUGAUUUGAUUAUACUUGCUUAAAACUACGCAUAGUUUGAGUAAUGUGGCCUUUUUAGAUCUGCUAGACUUAUUGAAAGAGGCAUUUUCAUUUUCUCAACUUCCUGAGUCUUUUAGUAAGGCUAGAAAAAUGAUAAAAGAUUUAGGUCUCGAUUAUGAAAAUAUACAUGUGUAUCCUAAUAAUUGCGUGAUCUUUUGCAAAAACAAGGUAGAUGCUGAUAAUUGCUCUAUGUGUGGGUCUUCUAGAUGGUCAUAUGUUGUUGAUGGAUUGACUACUGAAAAAUCUAAAAUACCCGCCAAGAUUUUGAGAUAUUGUCCUUUGAAGCCUAGGCUUCAAAGACUAUUCAUGAAUUCUGAAACUGCUGCUGUGAUGACAAGGCAUGACACUGAAAGACAAAACGAUGGUAAUUUAAGACACCUUGUUGAUGGAGAAUCUUGGAAGGAUUUUGACUCUUUGCAUCUAACCUUCUCGAAUGAUCCUCAAAAUGUUAGAUUGUAUCUUUCAAGUGAUGGAUUUAAUCAAUUUCGUACCAUGAGUAUUUUCCAUAGUACAUGGCCUGUUAUGUUGAUGAAUUACAAUCUAUCACUGUGGAUUUGCAUGAAGCCAGAGUACAUAAUAUUGUCAGUAAUCAUUCUAGGUCCAUCCUCUCUCUGAAAUGAUAUUGAUGUGUACCUACAACUAUUAAUUGAUUAGUUGAAUGAGUAUAGGAAUUUGGGGCAGAAACAUAUAAUGCCCAUAAAAACCAAAUAUUUCAAAUGCGUGCAGCCUUGUUAUGGACAGUUAGCAAUUUUCCAGCGUUAGCAAUUUUGUCCGGAUGGAGCACUAAAAGAAGAUUAUCAUGUCCAACUUGUAACUAUAGCACAUCCUCUCAAUAUCUUGAGCAUAGUCAAAAGAUGUGUUACUUGGGGUCACCGGAAAUUGUUGUCUCCUAAUCAUCCAAAUGGAAGAGACAAGAAAUCCUUUAAUGGUGCAGAGGAUCAUAGACCUGCACCCACACCUUUUUUAGGAAGAGAAGUGGUUGAAAAGCUAUAGGAUUUCAACAAUAUUUUUGUAAAGGGACAAAAUAAAAGACAUAGGACUACUGAGGGUUCAUGAAAUAAAAAUUGUCUUCUUUCAAUUACGAUAUUGGGCUACAAUUAAGUUGAGGCACAAUCUAGAUGUAAUGUAUAUUGAGAAAAACUUUUUGGAUAGUUUGCUUGCAAUUUUACUCGAUAUAUUAGGAAAGUCAGAGGAUUACAUUAUUUCUCGAUAUGACUUGCAAGUAAUGGGUAUAAAGAAGGAGGUUCAUCCCAUAAAAGAUAAUACAAAUGGAAAAGUAUACUUAGCUAAAUCUUAUUUUUCCAUGAAACCAGAAGAAAAAAAAUUAUGUUGCGCAGUUUUGAAAAAUGCAAAACUAACAAAAGGGUGUGUGUCGAACAUAUCAAACCAUGUGUAUGUAGAACAAAUAAAGAUAUCAGGUUAUAAGAGCCAUGAUGAACAUAUUAUGAUGCAUAACUUGCUGCAGAUUGUAGUUCAUAAAUCAUUAUCGAAGAAUGUUACGGUGAUUUUGAUUAGGUUGGGAAACGUUUUUAAAGCCAUAUACAGUAAGGUAAUAAAGCGAGCAGAUCUAGAGGGAUUGCUACCUGAAAUAAAAGAAAUUGAAUGUAAGCUUGAAAAUAUAUUUCCUUCAACCUUUUCUGAUAUAAUGGAACAUUUGCCUAUUCAUUUGGUAGAUAAAAUUAGGUUGGGGGUCCAAAUCAUCUUCGUUAUAUGUAUACCAUGGAGAGAGAACUAUGUGAAUUUAAGGACCUUGUUCGUAAUCGGUUUAAUCUGGAAGGUUCAAUAUUAGAGGGGUUUAUUGCAAAAGAGUUUUCGACCUUUGAUUCCAGAUACUUACAUGAUGGAGCAAAGAUAAGAUUCAGCAGAUACAAAACAGAGUAUGACAAAGAUUUUGAAGAAGAGCAAGAUUAUGUAUCAAUUGUAUUCUCUAAGCUUGGUCAUCCAGUAGGAAAUAAGAAGAAAACAAAAGGAAAACCUUUGAAGAUGAAUCAACAGUUAUCUUCUGAAGCACAUCAAUAUGUAUUUUUGAACACCGGACAUGAACAAGUCGAUGAUUUUAUCAAAUUGUGCAGUCAUGAGUCCAAAGAAAAACAAAAAUGUGAAGGUGAAGAAGAAUUACAUGGCGGGUGGAAGUCUUACAUCCAUGGCAUGCAAAUGGUCUUCUUCAUUGAGAAUAAAUCCCUCUGUUGAGCAUAUUCUGCGUCAAAACUUUUCUUCUGAUCUAUUUUCAAAAGCUUUAGAGGAACUGGUACCUCAAAAGUCUCCUAGAAAGACUUCCACUCAGAAACCACAACCUAUACAACAGGAAAUGCCACCACAAAAGACUCCUCGGAAGUCGACGAGAUUGAAAACACAAGCUAUACAAGAAAAAGUGCCUUGAAAGUCUCCUUAAAAAUCUAUGUUUCUGAUAGCAUAUGGUAUACAGAAACAUGCAACAAAAUUCUCAGAAUUCUACUACUGGUAAAGUACAGGUUGGGAAGGAACCAAUUCAACAAGUGUCUCAAAAAUCCUCCAUUAUUGAAGCACAAGCUGUGCAAGAAUCGGUUCAAUGGGUUACUCGAAAUUCUACCGCCCUUAGAGCACAAGUUGGUCAGGUACAACUGCAACAAAUAAGUAUGGAUUCUUCCUCUAUUGGAAUAGAAUUUGCCGCGGAACAAAUGCAACCAAAGCCAAGAGAUUUUUCUACUCUAGAAGAAGAAGAUGUGCAAGACUAAGAACAAGAAGAACCACUGGUUUCAUGAGAAAAUGAUUUAUCCGUAGAACAAGGUGGAGAAAACAAUCUAGGUGGUGAUGAAAGCAUGGAUGAGGACGACAUUUGAGAUUUGCUUGAAAGUGGUCGAAACUCGUGCAUCAUGACCUGAUUUUUUGUUGAUAUAAUGAAGUCUUAUUUUGAUAUCCAGUGGAAACUUGUGCCAACUGUUGUAUAUUUUUUCCAUGGAUCGUAUUGCGACUAAUUUUUUGUGACUUUGUAGGAUGACAUUAUGACUUGCAAAUUUUAUUUAUUUUGCGUCUAUAAGGCGGGUGACAUAUUUUUUUGACUGAGAUAUUUUAAAUUAGAAUCAAUCAUCUUUUGUGGUA
This is a long non-coding RNA of Solanum dulcamara, 3666 nucleotides long. RefSeq lists it as uncharacterized. The transcript is spliced from 3 exons. NCBI's taxonomy places the organism in Eukaryota, Viridiplantae, Streptophyta, Magnoliopsida, Solanales, Solanaceae. The record is from RefSeq and is a predicted model, not a curated record.